RNAcentral lists this ribosomal RNA (370 nucleotides) under uncultured eukaryote. Its description in RNAcentral is "partial 18S ribosomal RNA". It matches the Rfam family "Eukaryotic small subunit ribosomal RNA", at positions 592 to 976 of the family's 1831-position model. The record is from RNAcentral.
CAAUAGCGUAUAUUAAAGUUGUUGCAGCUAAAAAGCUCGUAGUUGGAUUUCUGGUCGGAAGCUCCUGUCCUCUGAUGAGCGUACAAGUGCGUCCUACCAUCCUUCUGUUAACCUUUAAGGCUUUCGCGGCUUUCUAGGGGCUCAGAUAUUUUACCUUGAGAAAAUUAGAGUGUUUCAGGCAGGCUAGCGCCGGAAUACAUUAGCAUGGAAUAAUGGAAUAGGACUUUUGCCUCUUCUGUUGGUCAUGAGGCUCGAGUAAUGAUUAAUAGGGAUAGUUGGGGGCAUUAGUACUUAACUGUCAGAGGUGAAAUUCUCGGAUUUGUUAAAGACUAACUUAUGCGAAAGCAUUUGCCAAGGAUGUUUNCAUUAA